GACGUAGGGCGCGAGCGUUGUCCGGAUUUAUUGGGCGUAAAGAGCUCGUAGGCGGCUUGUCGCGUCGACCGUGAAAACUUGGGGCUCAACCCCAAGCCUGCGGUCGAUACGGGCAGGCUAGAGUUCGGUAGGGGAGACUGGAAUUCCUGGUGUAGCGGUGAAAUGCGUAGAUAUCAGGAGGAAUACCUAUGGCGAAAGCAGGUAUCUGGGCCAUCACUGACGCUGAGCUGCGAAAGCUAGGGGAGCAAACAGG
RNAcentral lists this ribosomal RNA (253 nucleotides) under uncultured bacterium. RNAcentral's name for it is "partial 16S ribosomal RNA". It matches the Rfam family "Bacterial small subunit ribosomal RNA", at positions 524 to 776 of the family's 1533-position model. The record is from RNAcentral.